RNAcentral lists this long non-coding RNA (703 nucleotides) under Olea europaea subsp. europaea. The record is from RNAcentral. Lineage: Eukaryota; Viridiplantae; Streptophyta; Magnoliopsida; Lamiales; Oleaceae.
UCUCAUUACUAAUGGAAUCCAGACCAUGGAAAGGUAACAUAAUGUAUGUGUUUAAAUGAACUGCUUCUUGCAGGGAGGCUUGUGAAGAGCAUGCUGAAGAAAUGGUAAAACUAGCGUACAAGUUACUUGAGGCUUAAUCGCUAUCCGCCAUGCCCUGCUCCUCAUUUAGUGCUCGGUGUUGGUAGACACAAGGACCCCAUUGCUUUGACCAUCCUUGCUCAAGAUGAGGUUGGAGGACUUGAAGUGAAGAGGAAGAUUGAUGGAGAGUAGAUUCUUGUCAAACCUACUCCUAAUGCUUAUAUCAUCAAUGUUGCUGACAUGAUACAGGUACAAAUUUGAUACUUGUUGGUGUUGAAUGAGAUUUCUUUUUCUGAUAUGAUUGCCUUAUGUCACUUGUUACUUGAAUAUUUAUACAGGUUUGGAGCAGUGAUAAUUAUGAAACUGUGGAACAUAGAGUGAUGGUCAAUUCUGAGAAGUAAAAUUUUCAAUUCCUUUCUUCCUGAAUCCCCCAAGUUCCACUUUGGUGGAACCCCUGGAAAAGCUGACAAACAAGCAAAACCCAGCCAAGUAAAAGCUUUAUAACUUGGGAGAGUUUUUGGCAAAAAGAGCAUGCAGUGACUGUUUUUGAUGUUGAAACGAUUUUUCUUUAUCCAUGGGCAAUGAGUUUCGAUGUAUUGGGUGUAUCACAAAUGAUUCUUGUAUC